Long non-coding RNA from Sapajus apella (tufted capuchin), 913 nucleotides. RefSeq lists it as uncharacterized. The transcript is spliced from 3 exons. Lineage: Eukaryota; Metazoa; Chordata; Mammalia; Primates; Cebidae. The record is from RefSeq and is a predicted model, not a curated record.
CUUGCUCUGUUGCCCGGGCUGGUCUUGAACUCCUGGCCUCAAGCAAUCCUUUACCUUUGGCCUACCUCAGUGCUGGGAUUUUGGGCUUGAGCCAAGUUGCUCAGCCCAUUUCUGUUUCUUUAGAAAGAAAAACACGGAACUGAUUGCCCUGUGCAGAAGUGGGUCUCCAUCACGAUUUGCCUGUGAGUCACGCUGGGAGAGGGAGAGCACCUGCUGCAUCUCUGGGUCCACAUGGCAUGGCUGGGUCAAUGCUUUGGACACCAGCAGUGAGUGGGGAGGCUGCUGUGGGGACUUGGGGUCCCGCUUAAUCAUCUUUCUAUUCACCAGUGCAGGGUGAUUGAGGACAACUGACUUCAUCCUUCUGAAUCAGGUUGAGAAGGACCUGCAGCAUUGGUUGAGGAUUGAAUAAGGACCCCGCUGGCUGCUGUGUGGGGGACAAGGGCCAGGGAGGAGGCCGCUGCAAGAAUCCAAGAGAGAGAUGAUGGCGGCUCAGACCGGCGCAGUGGCAGUGGAGAGGCUGAGAAGUGGUUGAACUUGGGAUACGUUUCCAAGGCAGAGCCAACAGGAUUUCCGGCCGGAUUGGAUGUGGGGUGUGAGAAAAAGUGAGGAGGCAAGGAUGACGUCAAGCGUUUUGGCCUGAGCAGCUGGAAAUCCAGCUGGGCACCCCCGUGGGGGCUGAAAAACAAAGAGUGGAAGGUGAGACUGCUGGUGAGAAAAGGGGCAGGAGACUUGAGGGAACAAGAAGGGUUCAAAUGGAGGAGCAGGUCCGGGGGAACUCAGCAGAGAGUGAAUCGGCUGACUGAUCCGUCUGUUUCUUCUGCAAACAUUCCCAGCUCCUCGUCUGUGCCAGGUGCUGGGGCAGGGGCUGGAGACUGUGUUAUGAACAAACAGCCCUGAGACCCACAGGUGGCCU